AGUCACCUCUGUAACUCAUUACUGAGGAGCCACAGAUGAGUCAGCAGAAACCCCAGCAGAGCACGGCCAGGUCAAUUACACAUGAAGCACCCAGACUAGCCGGACAGAUAACCUGCGGCCAGAACAGGCACGCAUGGUAGCGUCGGCGACCUGGCCUGGGUCCUGCAGUUCAGAAGCCUCCUGCCUAAUGGUGGUCAACACUAACUGCUCUGUGGGCACCAGAAAGGCCGCGGCGGGAGAAAACAACACACACAAGACAACAAGUCAGUAUACACAUACCGCACACAACUCAUCUAUGUGUAACAGCUGCAAAUGUGUUUGUGUGUGCGUGUCGCUAGAAGCGCUAACAGUGAGAUGAGACUCAUGCCUGCAUAUGAAAGAUGUUGACCUCAAAAGUUUCACACAGAGACGGACUUGUGAAAUGUAAGCUUCUAGCUUGUCCAGGAGUGCCCCCCUGUGUACAGCUUAUGUCAGUACCUCUAUUCUGCAAUUCAUUAGACCUCUCUUUAUCUCCCAAGUGGCAUCUUCAGUAGCUUGGCAGCCAUGACGACAGUCAUUAUCUUUCCAAAACAGACAUAUUGUUGACAGUUGGCUGAGCUAAAUGACUUGCAUAAACUAGACACCCCUACACUGGGACAGAUGUGCCCUUACAUUAAAAAACUAAUCACGUGGGAUGUCCAGAACAAUCUGCAAAAUACAUUAAGACAUCUUCAUUUUUGUUUAGCUUCAUUGUGACAUUAGGCUAAAAUAUGUUUUUUUCCUACAGUAGAAUGUGCUUUUUCAACCAAUGUGAGAAGUGUUUUUGUGUCUGUGAGUACUCAUUAGAAACAUGACAAAAUACUCAAAUGCUGGUCAGAGUUUGUGUCAACCACUAUUUAUGGUCUUCUUAAAUAAAAGCAAAUUCAGUUG
Micropterus salmoides (largemouth bass) is the source of this 909-nucleotide long non-coding RNA. RefSeq lists it as uncharacterized. Lineage: Eukaryota; Metazoa; Chordata; Actinopteri; Centrarchiformes; Centrarchidae. The record is from RefSeq and is a predicted model, not a curated record. The transcript has 2 exons.